This 74-nucleotide transfer RNA is filed under the name Candidatus Wukongarchaeota archaeon. RNAcentral describes it as "tRNA-Val". It matches the Rfam family "tRNA". Rfam says of the family: Transfer RNA (tRNA) molecules are approximately 80 nucleotides in length. Their secondary structure includes four short double-helical elements and three loops (D, anti-codon, and T loops). The record is from RNAcentral. Lineage: Archaea; Promethearchaeati; Candidatus Wukongarchaeota.
GGGCGAGUGGUCUAGCUGGCUAUGACGUCACUCUCACGCAGUGAAGGUCCCCGGUUCGAAUCCGGGCUCGCCCA